CGGUGUUUAACUGGCGUGAUGUGGGACGUCCUACCGGUGGGCUUAGCCUCGCGAGGGGCGGCCCAACUAAUAUCCCGUCGCGGUGCUCUUUACUGAGUGUCGAGUCGGGCCGGUACGUUUACUUUGAACAAAUUAGAGUGCUUAAAGCAGGCUAUCCUCGCCUGAAUACUGCGUGCAUGGAAUAAUGGAAUAGGACCUCGGUUCUAUUUUGUUGGUUUUCGGAACCCCGAGGUAAUGAUUAAUAGGGACAGAUGGGGGCAUUCGUAUUGCGACGUUAGAGGUGAAAUUCUUGGAUCGUCGCAAGACGGACAGAAGCGAAAGCAUUUGCCAAAAAUGUUUUCAUUAAUCAAGAACGAAAGUUAGAGGUUCGAAGGCGAUCAGAUACCGCCCUAGUUCUAACCAUAAACGAUGCCAGCUAGCGAUCCGCCGAAGUUCCUCCGAUGACUCGGCGGGCAGCUUCCGGGAAACCAAAGCUUUUGGGUUCCGGGGGAAGUAUGGUUGCAAAGCUGAAACUUAAAGGAAUUGACGGAAGGGCACCACCAGGAGUGGAGCCUGCGGCUUAAUUUGACUCAACACGGGAAACCUCACCAGGCCCAGACACCGGAAGGAUUGACAGAUUGAUAGCUCUUUCUUGAUUCGGUGGGUGGUGGUGCAUGGCCGUUUUUAGUUGGUGGAGCGAUUUGUCUGGUUAAUUCCGAUAACGAACGAGACUCUAGCCUGCUAAAUAGGCGUACCUUAUGGUAUCGCGAAGGCCCCCGGCUUCGGCCGGUGGGUUUUUACUACCAACGUACAAACAAAUCUUCUUAGAGGGACAGGCGG
RNAcentral lists this ribosomal RNA (819 nucleotides) under uncultured eukaryote. RNAcentral's name for it is "SSU rRNA". It matches the Rfam family "Eukaryotic small subunit ribosomal RNA", at positions 629 to 1426 of the family's 1831-position model. The record is from RNAcentral.